GUGAGGAAUAUUGCGCAAUGGAGGCAACUCUGACGCAGCCAUGCCGCGUGCAGGAAGAAGGCGCUACGCGUUGUAAACUGCUUUUAACCGGGAAGAAACCCCAGGACGUGUCCUGGGUUGACGGUAGCGGAGGAAUAAGCACCGGCUAACUUCGUGCCAGCAGCCGCGGUAAUACGAAGGGUGCAAGCGUUAGCCGGAUUCAUUGGGUUUAAAGGGUGCGUAGGCGGCGCGUUAAGUCAGUGGUGAAAUCCUGCAGCUUAACUGUAGACUUGCCAUUGAUACUGGCGCUCUUGAGUGCGCUUGAAGUGGGCGGAAUGUGCCGUGUAGCGGUGAAAUGCUUAGAUAUGGCACAGAACACCAAUUGCGAAGGCAGCUCACUAAGGCGAUACUGACGCUGAGGCACGAAAGCGUGGGGAUCGAACAGGAUUAGAUACCCCUGUAGUCC
RNAcentral lists this ribosomal RNA (445 nucleotides) under uncultured bacterium. RNAcentral's name for it is "partial 16S ribosomal RNA". It matches the Rfam family "Bacterial small subunit ribosomal RNA", at positions 354 to 796 of the family's 1533-position model. The record is from RNAcentral.